RNAcentral lists this non-coding RNA (181 nucleotides) under unclassified sequences. RNAcentral's name for it is "malK-I RNA". It matches the Rfam family "malK-I RNA". The record is from RNAcentral.
UUCCAAUGGACAGCGUGACUCCACAGAAAACCACGCCGUUCCAUGACAAGAAGGAGGAAAACACCGUCAGCUCACGGUGCGGCAGCGUGGAGACCUGCCGUAAUGCGAUCACAUACACAGCGAUGUGCGCGAGAACAGUUCAGGCAUUGGACCGAUUGUUCAGAGCAAAAAUAACAUGGCA